CUAAAAUGGACGCUUCACACUGGGUCGUCGCAUUCCUUCUUUUCACCGCAUUCCAUGAAACGGAACAACGCCCAAUCGUUGAAGAUACUGCUCCUUUUUCUAAUGACUUCCCAGGUGGCCAUUCUGCAGAUGAGUUUCCAAUGGAUGUACCCGCACGGAACCCGGAUGACACAUCGACAACGGCGCCAGAGGCAGUGGUGCAGCCCUCCGGC
This is a long non-coding RNA of Schistocerca americana (American grasshopper), 212 nucleotides long. RefSeq lists it as uncharacterized. The transcript is spliced from 3 exons. The record is from RefSeq and is a predicted model, not a curated record. NCBI's taxonomy places the organism in Eukaryota, Metazoa, Arthropoda, Insecta, Orthoptera, Acrididae.